UUACAUCAUUGUUAAGAAAUCGGUUGGGAUGGCAGAUAAAUUUUUUUUUUUUUUGAAUACUGUUUAUACAGGACUGUAGGUAUUACAAUUAAUAUUUACACACAGAUUCUACAAUUGGAACCUUCAUUGUGGCAUGUACUCCUCUAAAGAGCUGCCCAAAUUCUUCAAACCCUCUCAAAUAUUCGAGGGCUGUCCACUCACGAAAUGAUCAUCGUGGCAUGUACUCCUCUGAAGCGCUGUCCAAAUUCUUCAAACCCUCUCAAAUAUUCGAGGGCUGUCCACUCACGAAAUGAUCAUCGUGGCAUGUACUCCUCUGAAGCGCUGUCCAAAUUCUUCAAACCCUCUCAAAUAUUCGAGGGCUGUCCACUCUACUCACAUUUCGUGAGGAAUAGACUGGCUCCACUCAAUUAUGUGAUAAUUGAGGAAUGAUUGUAAAUAAGCCCCAUAAAUGCUUUUAUGGAGGCUCGAACCCUUGCACUCAUUAUUCUAAGUGUAAGGACUUUCCCACUGGACCAAAG
Molecule: long non-coding RNA, 518 nt
Filed under: Citrus sinensis (sweet orange)
Lineage: Eukaryota; Viridiplantae; Streptophyta; Magnoliopsida; Sapindales; Rutaceae
Description: long non-coding RNA (CSIN_LNC002480)
Source: RNAcentral